Non-coding RNA from Triticum aestivum (bread wheat), 121 nucleotides. The record is from Rfam. NCBI's taxonomy places the organism in Eukaryota, Viridiplantae, Streptophyta, Magnoliopsida, Poales, Poaceae.
CUCAUACUCCCUCCGUCAAGAAAUACUUGUCCAAGAAAUGGAUGUAUCUAAAUGUAUUUUAGUUUUAGAUACAUUCAUUUGUAUCCAUUUGUACGACAAGUAUUUCCGGACAGAGUACAUU